Molecule: long non-coding RNA, 232 nt
Filed under: Phoenix dactylifera (date palm)
Lineage: Eukaryota; Viridiplantae; Streptophyta; Magnoliopsida; Arecales; Arecaceae
Description: long non-coding RNA (PDAC_LNC004725)
Source: RNAcentral
UGAAUAGCAGCAGCACCUCCCAGUUCCAAGAGGACUUGAUCGUCGCAAGGAUCUUUGAGGAUGGUGGAAGGGAGACGAGGGGGGAACGAGUAUUUGUAUAGCAGUAGCACCUCCCAGUUCCAAGACUUGGUCGUCGCAUGGGAAACAUGAGUUCUCACCGGCGGGUUCGGGUCGUCUCUUUCACGCGAACGGAGGGUUCAUCUUCUUUCGCGACGUGGACCGCUGGAUCGCG